GACUGGCUCAGGAUGAACGCUAGCUACAGGCUUAACACAUGCAAGUCGAGGGGCAGCAUGGUCUUAGCUUGCUAAGGCCGAUGGCGACCGGCGCACGGGUGAGUAACACGUAUCCAACCUGCCGUCUACUCUUGGACGGCCUUCUGAAAGGAAGAUUAAUACAAGAUGGCAUCAUGAGUCCGCAUGUUCACAUGAUUAAAGGUAUUCCGGUAGACGAUGGGGAUGCGUU
Molecule: ribosomal RNA, 229 nt
Filed under: uncultured bacterium
Lineage: Bacteria
Description: partial 16S ribosomal RNA
Rfam family: Bacterial small subunit ribosomal RNA
Source: RNAcentral